GACGAACGCUGGCGGCGUGCUUAACACAUGCCAGUCGAACGGAAAGGCCCUGCUUUUGUGGGGUGCUCGAGUGGCGAACGGGUGAGUAACACGUGAGUAACCUGCCCUUGACUUUGGGAUAACUUCAGGAAACUGGGGCUAAUACCGCAUAGGAGCUCCUGCUGCAUGGUGGGGGUUGGAAAGUUUCGGCGGUUGGGGAUGGACUCGCGGCUUAUCAGCUUGUUGGUGGGGUAGUGGCUUACCAAGGCUUUGACGGGUAGCCGGCCUGAGAGGGUGACCGGCCACAUUGGGACUGAGAUACGGCCCAGACUCCUACGGGAGGCAGCAGUGGGGAAUAUUGCACAAUGGGCGGAAGCCUGAUGCAGCAACGCCGCGUGCGGGAUGACGGCCUUCGGGUUGUAAACCGCUUUCGCCUGUGACGAAGCGUGAGUGACGGUAAUGGGUAAAGAAGCACCGGCUAACUACGUG
Molecule: ribosomal RNA, 468 nt
Filed under: uncultured bacterium
Lineage: Bacteria
Description: partial 16S ribosomal RNA
Rfam family: Bacterial small subunit ribosomal RNA
Source: RNAcentral